AGUGAACGCUGGCGGCAGGCCUAACACAUGCAAGUCGAACGGCAGCACAGGGGAGCUUGCUCCCUGGGUGGCGAGUGGCGGACGGGUGAGGAAUACAUCGGAAUCUGCCUAUACGUGGGGGAUAACCUCGGGAAACCGGGACUAAUACCGCAUACGACCUACGGGUGAAAGCAGGGGACCUUCGGGCCUUGCGCGGAUAGAUGAGCCGAUGUCGGAUUAGCUAGUUGGCGGGGUAAAGGCCCACCGAGGCGACGAACCGUAGCUGGUCUGAGAGGAUGAUCAGCCACACUGGAACUGAGACACGGGCCAGACUCCGACGGGAGGCAGCAGUGGGGAAUAUUGGACAAUGGGCGCAAGCCUGAUCCAGCCAUGCCGCGUGGGUGAAGAAGGCAUUCGGGUUGUAAAGCCCUUUUGUUGGGAAAGAAAAGCAGUCGAUUAAUACCCGAUUGUUCUGACGGUACCCAAAGAAUAAGCACCGGCUAACUUCGUGCCAGCCGCCGCAGUAA
RNAcentral lists this ribosomal RNA (506 nucleotides) under uncultured bacterium. Its description in RNAcentral is "partial 16S ribosomal RNA". It matches the Rfam family "Bacterial small subunit ribosomal RNA", at positions 29 to 523 of the family's 1533-position model. The record is from RNAcentral.